AUACGGAGGGUGCAAGCGUUACUCGGAAUCACUGGGCGUAAAGCGCGCGCAGGCGGCUAUUUAAGUUGGAUGUGAAAGCCUAUGGCUCAACCAUAGAACUGCAUCCAAAACUAUUUAGCUAGAGUGUGGGAGAGGAAGAUGGAAUUAGUUGUGUAGGGGUAAAAUCCGUAGAGAUAACUAGGAAUACCAAAAGCGAAGGCAAUCUUCUGGAACACUACUGACGCUGAGGCGCGAAAGCGCGGGGAGCAAACAGGAUUAGAUACCCUAGUAGUCC
Molecule: ribosomal RNA, 274 nt
Filed under: uncultured bacterium
Lineage: Bacteria
Description: partial 16S ribosomal RNA
Rfam family: Bacterial small subunit ribosomal RNA
Source: RNAcentral